This 337-nucleotide unclassified non-coding RNA is filed under the name soil metagenome. RNAcentral describes it as "partial contains 5.8S ribosomal RNA, internal transcribed spacer 2, and large subunit ribosomal RNA". The stretch from base 1 to 121 matches the Rfam family "5.8S ribosomal RNA", at positions 35 to 154 of the family's 154-position model. The record is from RNAcentral.
GAUGAAGAACGCAGCGAAAUGCGAUAAGUAAUGCGAAUUGCAGAAUUUCCGUGAGUCAUCGAAUCUUUGAACGCACAUUGCGCCCGCCAGUAUUCUGGCGGGCAUGCCUGUUCGAGCGUCAUUUCAACCAUCAAGCCCCCGGCUUGUGUUGGGGACCUGCGGCUGCCGCAGGCCCUGAAAACCAGUGGCGGGCUCGCUGUCACACCGAGCGUAGUAGAUUUUCAUCUCGCUCAGGGCGUGCUGCGGGUUCCGGCCGUAAAAAGCCUUAUUUACCCAAGGUUGACCUCGGAUCAGGUAGGAAGACCCGCUGAACUUAAGCAUAUCAAUAAGCGGAGGA